AGGGGAAGCAAAAGAAGAUCUAAUGGUGAAGACGGAGAGUGUGAAACUGACAUCAGCGAGUCAGUUAUCCCCUACUGUUGAAGCUCUGUGGAUUCCAAAUCAAUCUAAGUUCCUUCUUUUUGACAAAAGACGCCUUCUAUACAGUCCAAUCUCAGACAUUUUAAAGGAUUGUGGAUGUCAUUUCAUCGUCUGGAAAUUUCUGAAUGAAGAAACUUGGCGUUUUGAAUACAGAUACCAGGCACAAAAAAGAUAAAUCAUAAUAUCUUUGCAUGAAAUGA
Long non-coding RNA from Saccostrea echinata, 278 nucleotides. RefSeq lists it as uncharacterized. The record is from RefSeq and is a predicted model, not a curated record. Lineage: Eukaryota; Metazoa; Mollusca; Bivalvia; Ostreida; Ostreidae. The transcript has 3 exons.